UGGAAGUUGAAAACGACCUAAGUGCU
This 26-nucleotide non-coding RNA is filed under the name Homo sapiens (human). Lineage: Eukaryota; Metazoa; Chordata; Mammalia; Primates; Hominidae. The record is from RNAcentral.